AGCAGCAGCCAUGUCACCCUGCAACUCACAACUGGUAACCCACUGAAGCUAAGCAGGUGUGAGUCUGGCCAGUACCUGGAUGGGAGACCUCUUGGGGGAAAACUAAGGUUGCUGCUG
Molecule: ribosomal RNA, 117 nt
Organism: Lepisosteus oculatus (spotted gar)
Lineage: Eukaryota; Metazoa; Chordata; Actinopteri; Semionotiformes; Lepisosteidae
Source: Ensembl